GAGAAAGUUCCAAGAACUGCUAAUUCUUGAUUCCAUGAUUAACCUUAUGGCUUUCUUA
Molecule: transfer RNA, 58 nt
Filed under: Sminthopsis dolichura (little long-tailed dunnart)
Lineage: Eukaryota; Metazoa; Chordata; Mammalia; Dasyuromorphia; Dasyuridae
Description: tRNA-Ser
Source: RNAcentral